Molecule: unclassified non-coding RNA, 270 nt
Filed under: uncultured Glomus
Lineage: Eukaryota; Fungi; Glomeromycota; Glomeromycetes; Glomerales; Glomeraceae
Description: sequence contains 18S rRNA gene
Rfam family: Eukaryotic small subunit ribosomal RNA
Source: RNAcentral
AGCAGCCGCGGUAAUUCCAGCUCCAAUAGCGUAUAUUAAAGUUGUUGCAGUUAAAAAGCUCGUAGUUGAAUUUCGGGAUCAAUACGUCGGUCGUGCUUCGGUACGUACUGGCGUAAUUGAUUUCUCCCUUCUGACGAACCAUGAUGUCAUUAACUUGGUGUCAUGGGAAAUCAGGACUGUUACUUUGAAAAAUUGAGUGUUUAAAGCAGGCUCACGCUUGAAUACAUUAGCAUGGAAUAAUGAAAUAGGACGUUCGAUCCUAUUUUGUGU